CACGUAGGCGGCUUGGUAUGUCGGGUGUGAAAUCCCCGGGCUCAACCUGGGAACUGCAUCCGAAACUGCCUUGCUAGAGUAUGGGAGAGGGAAGUGGAAUUUCCGGUGUAGCGGUGAAAUGCGUAGAUAUCGGAAGGAACAUCAGUGGCGAAGGCGACUUCCUGGACCAAUACUGACGCUCAGUGCGAAAGCGUGGGGAGCAAACA
This 206-nucleotide ribosomal RNA is filed under the name uncultured bacterium. Its description in RNAcentral is "partial 16S ribosomal RNA". It matches the Rfam family "Bacterial small subunit ribosomal RNA", at positions 568 to 774 of the family's 1533-position model. The record is from RNAcentral.